GAUGAACGCUAAGCGAUAGCUUAACGCAUGCAAGUCGAGGGCAUCACGAAUUAGCAAUAGUUUGGUGGCGACCGGCGCACGGGUGCGUAACACGUAUACAACCUACCUUCAAUUGGGGAAUAACCUGGAGAAAUUUGGACUUAAUACCCCAUAGUAAGCAGAGGAGGCAUCUUUUUUGUUUUAAAGAUUUAUUGAUUGGAGAUGGGUAUGCGUAGGAUUAGCUAGUUGGUAAGGUAACGGCUUACCAAGGCAACGAUCCUUAGGGGUUCUGAGAGGAAGGUCCCCCACACUGGUACUGAGACACGGACCAGACUCCUACGGGAGGCAGCAGUGAGGAAUAUUGGUCAAUGGUCGAGAGACUGAACCAGCCAAGUCGCGUGAAGGAAGACGGCUCUAUGAGUUGUAAACUUCUUUUGUACAGGAGUAAAGUGAGACACGUGUGUUUUAUUGCAAGUACUGUACGAAUAAGCAUCGGC
This 476-nucleotide ribosomal RNA is filed under the name Bacteroidetes bacterium oral taxon 274. RNAcentral describes it as "bacterial SSU rRNA". It matches the Rfam family "Bacterial small subunit ribosomal RNA", at positions 28 to 497 of the family's 1533-position model. The record is from RNAcentral. Lineage: Bacteria; Pseudomonadati; Bacteroidota.